AUUGAACGCUGGCGGCAGGCCUAACACAUGCAAGUCGAACGGUAACAGGAAGCAGCUUGCUGCUUUGCUGACGAGUGGCGGACGGGUGAGUAAUGUCUGGGAAACUGCCUGAUGGAGGGGGAUAACUACUGGAAACGGUAGCUAAUACCGCAUAACGUCGCAAGACCAAAGAGGGGGACCUUCGGGCCUCUUGCCAUCGGAUGUGCCCAGAUGGGAUUAGCUAGUAGGUGGGGUAACGGCUCACCUAGGCGACGAUCCCUAGCUGGUCUGAGAGGAUGACCAGCCACACUGGAACUGAGACACGAUCCAGACUCCUACGGGAGGCAGCAGUGGGGAAUAUUGCACAAUGGGUGCAAGCCUGAUGCAGCCAUGCCGCGUGUAUGAAGAAGGCCUUCGGGUUGUAAAGUACUUUCAGCGGGGAGGAAGGGAGUAAAGUUAAUACCUUUGCUCAUUGACGUUACCCGCAGAAGAAGCACCGGCUAACUCCGUG
RNAcentral lists this ribosomal RNA (490 nucleotides) under uncultured bacterium. RNAcentral's name for it is "partial 16S ribosomal RNA". It matches the Rfam family "Bacterial small subunit ribosomal RNA", at positions 30 to 507 of the family's 1533-position model. The record is from RNAcentral.